CUCAGCUGGCAGUUUCUUCACUUCUGGUGUUUGUUUUGUUUGUAAUAUUGUCUUUUCAGGUGUCUACCUCUAUGGAAAAAAUCCCUUCUGAAUUUAGAAAUAUUGUUACAGAGAGAAAAAUGUGAACGUGCCUGAUUACCCCACAUCACCUCUUUUUUUCAAGCUCCCAUCUUACCUGCUUUAAAACUCAGCAGACAGAUUGUAUGCUAUUGUAGUCUUUUAUUUCUGGAGUUUAAUCUUCAGUUUCUACUUCUUUGACAACACCCUGGUCAGGGCACCACAGUGCCUGAGCAGCUUCAUUGGGUAACAGCAUGCAGCUGGGAUCUGCAGCUGCUCCUCUUUCACCUGUUUGUAGCCUGCUAGAAACAUUCCCCACGUGUGGUUUGCAUCACUGCCUGGCUAGUGGGGCUGCAGAAAUGUAUCAACCAGGGAAAACAGCCACAGAUUUGUUUUUGUUUUGUUUUGUUUGAAAUUAGUAUUUUUUUAUUGCAAUUUCUCACUGGCUCUUGUCAAAGAAGUUAUUCCAAUUGUCCUUCCCAUCUGUGCCUUGUGUGCAUAUGAACCUGCAGUGCUUUCAGAAAGGAGUCCUGACCCCAGCAGGACCCACCUAGCCACUCUGGAGGCAAAGAGCUGUGUCUGAUUGGGGAUUCUGCAGCUGACAUAACACAAACACACAACUCCAUAUAUAAAUAUAAAUCAAAAGUAGUAGAAGACAGUGGAUUUUAACUAAAGGUCAAUAGAUACUCAAACUGAAUGCAACAGAAGUUGGUAGCACGCCCUGUUCUAAAGAUUUUGAUGACUUGAAUAUGCGAAUAAGGGAGAUUGCUCCAUCCUCAAAACUCCACCAAACAACAAGUAAUUGCCACUCAAACAAAUGCAAAUGAAUUUUGAGCCUUUUCGUUGUAAUGACUAUUUUGUCACUGUCAUUAUCUGAGUAGGGUAGAAGACAUUGUGUUUCAGAAGAUAUUCCUUGCUGUUUGUGAUUUCAAUUAUUUGACAUUACUUAGUUUGCUGGGUGGCUGCAAAUUAAUGGAUUUAGUAUUCAGAAACUGGACCCAGAUUCAUUAUAACCGCCAUUUCCACUUGCCUGUUGCUCUGCUCUCUACCUAGCUCAGAGACCUUAAAGGCCUGACCAAAAGCAUCUUGAAGCAUCUGUACUACUGCUAUCAGUAAACUCAAGAUCAAGCAGUAGGCCCUCAUUUGGUAACACAGCAAUGAGUGAAGCUGAAAAACUCUCAAAUCUUUCCUCCUUGUACAAAUUUUUAACCCUUAACUAUCUCUAAUUCUGUAAAUUACUGAGCAGGGUUUAGUAGAACAUGUAAACAUGCACUAAACUCUUUCUUAUGUGUCACUUCAUCUUUCUGUGGAUCAUUUCACAGUACAAGCACCCAAGAAAUACUGUUCUUUUUUUCUUUUUCAGGAAGCUUUCAAGCUGAUUUCCUUGUCUUGAAGAAGUUCUGGACCGGGCAAAGGAACUACUGUGGCUUCUGAGGCAAUAUUCAGCAGUGUUUCGUGUCAGUACUAGGAGAAAAAGAAAAGCUGCACCUAGACACGCGUUUGUACAGAGGUACUGCAAUGUUCAAUCAGAUGAGUGUACCUGAGUCCAAUAUGGCAAUUGGACUCAGUUUGGCAAUUGCAAGUAUGGCAAUGUGUAUUGGCAGGAAGUCUAAGGAUAAGCAGGGCUAAAGGAGCAUGCUCAUAAUCUGCUAUAGAUAAACAGCCGUGUCUGUCUGUUACCAUCUAAAGCAAAAAGAAAUAAAUGAAUUGGUAAAACUA
This is a non-coding RNA of Coturnix japonica (Japanese quail), 1776 nucleotides long. NCBI's taxonomy places the organism in Eukaryota, Metazoa, Chordata, Aves, Galliformes, Phasianidae. The record is from RefSeq and is a predicted model, not a curated record.